GCCGAGAUAGCUCAGGCGGUAGAGCGUCGCGUUGAAAGCGCGAGCGUCGCAGAUUCGAUUUCUGCUCUCGGCA
This is a transfer RNA of 73 nucleotides. It matches the Rfam family "tRNA". Rfam says of the family: Transfer RNA (tRNA) molecules are approximately 80 nucleotides in length.